Molecule: long non-coding RNA, 1400 nt
Filed under: Homo sapiens (human)
Lineage: Eukaryota; Metazoa; Chordata; Mammalia; Primates; Hominidae
Description: OIP5 antisense RNA 1
Source: RNAcentral
CUGCGAAGAUGGCGGAGUAAGGCGUGCCGCUGCAAACUGGCCUCUGGGCCGGGGGCGAGCAGCCCCCGGGAGGCCGAGUGCAUCUGUUGGACCGUGCGAGGUGAGCCGAGAAGGCCAGUGACGGAGAAGAAAAAAAAUAUCGGCCAGAGGAGAGGAACUAACCGAACAUUCUUCCUCCCUACCUUAUAGAGGGGAGUGGUCAUCUACACUAAAGCAAAGUGUUAGGCGCGUCCGUGCGAAGAGACCACCAAACAGGCUUUGUGUUCCUUAUCACAGGAAGAAAAUUUUCCUUGACCUUUAGGUGCUUUUAUAUUCAUCUCAAAAACAAAAUUCUGAACUCAGGACUUGGCAAGUGUCUCUAUGUUGUCUCCUAGAGUGGGUAGUCCUGCUUCUUUUACCCAGUUACUUUCCCGUUUUUGAAAUGUGGCUAUCACUUCUCUACACAUUACCUCCAUGAUUUGGAAUGGAAAAGGCCACUUUUCUUUUUGUUCUGCCUCUCAAAUUCAACACAGAGGAGCUCCUAGGAUUCCAGUUAUCCUGCUAACAUCUCCAGGAAGAAAGAAGCAACUCACAUGGGUCUUUUGCUGUUUGCUUAAUUAUAAAGACAUCAUUUUGCAAGCAGAAGGCUGAGUUUCAUUUGAAACAGGUGCUUAGGUGGUGGUAUUUGUGAAUACUUUUCAUUCCAAGCAAGAAGACUAAAGAAGUAGCAAGUAUGAAUGACUUCAGGGUUUAAAAAAAAUGUCUUCCAGUUUCAGCCACUACCAUGAUAAGCACAGUUGAGACUGCAGCAGUAAAUUCCAAAUAUGUGUUUCUAAUUUGACGUGAAAGAUACUAAAAAUUUAUAUUUGUAUAUUUAAAUCCUGGCUCAUCCUGUGACAUAGAUUUACUGAAUAGGAACAAAGGCCCAAUUUUAAACAAAAACCUAGGCCGGGUGUGGUGGCUCACACCUGUAAUCCCAACACUUUGGGAGGCCAAGGCAGGCAAAUCACCUGAGGUUGGGAGUUUGAGACCAGCCUGACCAACAUGGAGAAACCCCAUCUCUACUAAAAAUAGAAAAUUAGCCAGGUGUGGUGGUAGAUACGUGUAAUCCCAGCUACUCGUGAGGCUGAGGCAGGAGAAUUGCUUGAAUCCGGGAGGCGGAGGUUGCAGUGAACUGAGAUUGCACCACUGCACUCCAGCCUGGGCGACAGAGUGAGACUCCGUCUCAGAAAAAUAAAAAACAACUUUGGACAUAGAGGAGUUGGGGGCAGAGGGGGGAGGAUGAGAGAAUUUUCCAUGUAACUCCUUUUCCUUAAGAAAAAGAAGCAAAAAUCCCUCAUGCAGUGCCAUCUGACUUUAUGGUGUUUCACAUUAUAUAGUUACUUUUUUUAAUAAACGCAUAAGAUUAACUCUUCCUGCAA